Molecule: long non-coding RNA, 11394 nt
Filed under: Fragaria vesca (wild strawberry)
Lineage: Eukaryota; Viridiplantae; Streptophyta; Magnoliopsida; Rosales; Rosaceae
Description: long non-coding RNA (FVES_LNC005601)
Source: RNAcentral
GGGGAAACAGAAUAGAGAGGAACUGUCUCUAAGGCAGCCUGCACCAGGUUGAUAAAAUCUGAUAGUUGUAGCAACUCUAGGUGGGAAUAAAGAAAAUUACAUGAUUCAGCCUACAGUUAUUUAAAAUCAUUCCAUUACAAUUUCCUUUGGAACAGCUUUGAGAGGCUGAGCCAUUUGUAAAGAGAGGGCAAACUGUCUUCCAAGUUCAUAGUCUCAGGUACAACUCCAUCUUCAAGCUUCCAAUCAAAGCAGUUAAUGAGUGAACCCAGCAUCAAGUGCAACAUUCUCAUUGCCAAUGGCAAACCUGGACAGAUUCUCCUCCCAGCCCCAAACGGAAGAAGUUCAAAAAUUUUUCCCAUAACAUCAAUUUGGUUCUCUAAUCCUAAGAACCUCUCCGGCAUAAAAGAGUUUGGAUUGUCCCAAAUGUUGGGGUCUCUGCUCAUGGCCCAAACAUUAACUACAACCAGUGCACCCUUCGGGACAAUUUAUUCCCCUAUUUCUACAUCAGUUUCAGCUUUUCGUGGUAGCAAUGGACCUACUGGGCGCAAGCGAAAGGUUUCCUUGAUUAUUGCUUGUAAGUAAGGGAGUCUAGCAAUAUCGGAUUCCUCGAUUGGUUUUCCUUUUCCAAUCAUUUGAUCCAGCUCUUCUUUAGCUUUAGAAAGGCACUUUGGGUUGUGUAGUAGCUCCGCCAUUGCCCAUUCCAAUGCUGAACUUGUUUCUGUACCCGCAACAAAUAGAACCUACACAUUCACCGUGAGUUAGUGACUACGUUUGGAAAGUAAUGUUAAACAGAGACAAGCGUGGCCCACGGAUCACAUUGUACCGAUUUUGUUAAACUUAACCACAUUUAAUUAAGGUGUUGGGUUUUAAUCACAAAAUGUCUCGAUACAAUUGAAUAAGGUCCAUCCACUUAUAAGUUAUAUUUUAUUUGUCAUUUUUCUGACGUGGGAUCUAUUCCUCUCCAAUACUUCCAACAAGUAAAACCUGCUGUGCACUUUGAAUCUUUAUCAAAUUGAAGAUGUCAUCAUUUAGAGAACAAAUAAUCAGUAAUUAAGGUAUUAUUGAAGUGACUAUUCAAGAAGAACAGAAGAGUAGAUAGAGAGUGGACAGUAGACUAACCAUUAACAAAUAUUCAACAACUUUGGGGUUGUUCAAAUCUUCCUCAUUUUCCUCUUCUCUGAGGUCUAUUAGAGUAUCCAACAGAUCAUUACUUGUCACAUAAUCAUCCCUUUUUCUACAUUCCAACCGUUGACUGAUCACUGAUUCAAAUAAGCUUAACAUCUUGUUGUGGUAAAUUGUAAAGCUCCGCCUUCUGCCUUGGGGAUCAAUCUUCCUAAGCACAGGAAAAUAGUCCCCUAAAUUCGGUUUCCCAGCCUCUUCUAGCAUACCUUUAGCAUUCUUCUGAAACUCUUUAGUCAUCUCGCUGCUGCUACUCAAGUCAUCAUCAGCCAAAUCCACUGAGAGAACAGUUCUUGACAGCAAAUCAAGUGAAGUUUUGAAGGCAGCCUUUCCAAUAUCUACUGCCAAACCCUUUACCAUGCUGUCAUUGACACUAGCUAUGAGCUCUUGCACUUUUGCUCUCCGGUUUUCUUUGUUGGCAUCAAGAACUCUGGUGGUAAAGAGUUGGGAGGUGCAUAUUUUCCGCAGAUUUUUCCACCUUGGUGAUACUGGCAUCCACGGCAAGCUGUCAGCCGCUACUCGCAGCGCAUCUGGGAUUGGUUUGUUGCAGAACAAUUGGUCAUGGAUUCGGAGGAUUUCUUUGGCCAUGGUUGGUGAAGAAACUACUAUAGUGGUUAUCUGGCCUAGUUUCAAAGACAUAAUGGAGCCAUAGUGUUGUGAGAGCUUGGUCAAAGAGAUAUGAGGUUUGUCUCCAAGAUCAAAGAGAUUUCCAACCAAUGGAAAUGGCUUUGGUCCUGGUGGAAGCCUAACUUUGGUUCUUCUAUGGAGGGCUUGGAUUAAGAAGCAGGAGAUAAAGCACAGACACAACAGUGUACCAGACAAGAAGUCCAUCUUUCGCUAACAAAUUAGCUUCAUUCACAACUCCAACGCCAACUCUCUUUGAGCUUAACUUAUAGGAUGAGUUGAGCUAGAAUGCUAGAUCAUGAAUUAUGGACGGUGUAUUCACAUGUGGUAUAGAUUUGCAAGGAAAAGUUUCUCUUUCUCAAUUAAUCAAUUUCAUGUUAGAAAAAUUGGUUAUGAAAUUAAAUGUAGUGAGAGGCUGAUAAUCCCCUCCUAUCCUCGAUCAUCAAGCUAUGAGAAAAGGUGCAAUAUGCCUCUUACAGCUUGGUCGACUCUUCUUCAGCCAUACUUCAACCAUGUCUCCAUCAGAUAUAGUAAAAUCUGGAUUGAAUCAUUGAAAUUUAAACAAAAAGACAGAAAAACUUAUGAGGAAGACCUAUAAAUCACCACCUAACAGCUAACCGAGCCAGCAACUACAACUAGUAUUUCAUAUAUAACCGGCAAGAGCCGCAGGAUGCUUACCAUUCUCUACGAAUGCGCAACCCAUUGUGGAAUUAUGUGUUCUGCAACAUUUCAUGAUUAACAGAAUAGUUAAAUGAAUGAAUCAGUGCCAUCUUAGGAUGUUGUGUUGAUAUCUGAGUAUUUCUCCUUGAAAUGCUUUUCCUGUAGUGUCUUUUUUUUAUUUUCUUGUUUUUCAGACUAUCUUGAACUAACUCAGUGCAUAUGUUUGUGAAAUCUUCUUAUAAAUGAUCACUAACAUAUAGAUUCUUUUAUUGUUUGAUAUGAUCAAAAAUGUAAAAUUGAGGAGCAGUGGGAGCAACGUCUUGCGGAAUUAUAACUUAUACUUUUGAGUCUUAUAUUGUUGCAAUCAUUUUGCACUUUUGCUGUUAAUUGUAUGAUCUACAGAUCCAUGAUACAUUAUGAAUGAACAAAAUUUUGAUUGAGUUUUGAUUAUAUCUCAAUAGCGUUGUAUCAUUAUCUUCAUGCCUAUAUAAUAUUUAUCUGCAAAGGACGUGUAUAGAACUACUUAUGUUUGAGGUUAUCAUGAAUCAGCCCUGAGUUUGAGAUAUAGUUAUUGGUAUUGGUUUAUACAUUCAUGUUUAUGACUUGAAAUAUCUAACAAUUAAUCUAUGCUAACAAUUGAUCUGUGCUAACUGCUAAGGGUAAACCCAGAAAUUACUGAUGGGUAAAAACAUCCCUCCUUAUUUGGAGGAGAAGUCGAUUGCCUCAUGCCCAUCAAUCUACAAUGAGGCAAGUUGUUAUUCUAUAGCUAGCGUAGUUGGUGCAGCAUGCAUUUGUUGAAAUGCAAGAGAGCAACCUAUGUAUAUAGAUGUGGUGGCCGGCUGCAAAUAUUGAAAUGGAAGAGCAUACAUUAAUGUGGUAUGAAAACAUUGAGCAUGAAAUAAGGAAGACUUGUGGAAUUCUCUUCCAAGUGAUGGACGUGCAUGAAGAUAGCAUGCAUAUAUUUGCAUAUAUAAAGAGGCAUUUACAAUGGUGCAAAAUAUAGAAGAAUCGGAGCUCAUCUUGUGUGAUCAUCAAGAGUGAGAUAGAAAACUCUUAAGUAGAGAGUCUGUGUGUGUAGCAAAACAAAGUGUGUGUGAGAGUGUAUCCCUUCAAGUGUGAGUCUUGAGGCUAAAAACAUCCGUCCUUAUUUGGAGGAGAAGUCAAUUACCGUAUGUCCAUCAAUCUACAAUGAGGCAAGUUGCUAUUCUAUAGCUACCAUAGUUGGUGCAACAUGCAUUUGUUGAAAUGCAAGAGAGCAACCUAUAUAUAUAGAUGUGGUGGCCGGCUGCAAAGAUUGAAAUGGAAGAGCAUGCAUUAAUGUGGCAUGAAAACAUUGAGCAUGAAACAAGAAAGACUUGUGGAAUUCUCUUCCAAGUGAUGGACGUGCAUGAAGAAUGCAUGCAUAUAUUUGCUUAUAUAUAGAGGCAUUUGCAAUGGUGCAAAAUAUAGAAGAACCAGAGGUAAUCUUCUGUGAUCAUCAAGAGUGAGAUAGAAAACUCUUAAGUAGAGAGUUUGUGUGUGUAGUAAAACAAAGUGUGUGUGAGAGUAUAUCCCUUCAAGUGUGAGUCUUGAAGUAGUGUUUCUCUCGCUGUAACCUUUAUUCGUAUAGUGGAGGUUUUUUGUUGUUGUUGCCACGUGGACAUAGGCAUUUUGCCGAACCACGUUAAUUUUCGGUGUUCUUUAUCAUUUUAUUUCCGCUACAUUUUACAUUUGUGGUUUUGAGUUUCCGAUUUCAUUCUACAGUUUAUUCUUCUGCAUAACCCAACAACUACUGCAUUUAUGUUGUUGUCUUACUUUAUGCUGCCAAGGUAGUUGUGUAUGCAAAGUGAUAUGCUGAAUUGCUGAUACAUGUUAUAAAGUAUAUUUUGUGACUACUUGUAUUUUUAUUAAUUUUAAGAAAAUAAGAUAGUGUAUUUUAUUUAUUUUAUUUGUUUGUUUAGCAGUAAUUUAAAUUCAUAAUUAUGUGUGUAGUGUAUAUUUAUUUAUGUAUAUAUGUAAAUAUACCAGCCCAUUAAUUUUGUUUUUAGACCCAAGUCCAAUUUAAGAAAAAGCCCAAGACCAAUAGAUGACUUAAACUCAAGUCGACAUGAUACUCACAAUGGACUCAUUCAUCCCCAUUCUUGUGAGCUCAUCAGUCAUCAACGAACUUUCUCUCCGAAAUGUGCUUCCCGAUGCCUACUCUUCUCUUGAUAUGAGAUUCAGCUUGCUGUUUAUAGGAAAAAACAAUGGUUUGGUUUGCUAUUUUCUCUAAGUGACUCUCAGACAGGUUCAAAUUACCUUAAUUUCAUUUGCCAUUACUUUUCUCUGCUUCAUUUAUUGUUUAACGAAAUGUGAUCCCCUUAAUAAACAGCUUGAUCUAAUUUUGUGUAUGUCAAAUGAUGUGUCGUUCUAUACUUGUAUUAUUCAGACCACAUAUUUGCUCAAAAUAAUGAUGCAAUGGCCACCUAUUUUUGACGGAAGCAAUGGCCUCCUAUCUUCGACGGAAGCAAUGGCCUCCUAUCUUCGACGGAAGUAAUGAUCUCAUUAUCAAUACUCAAUAAUUCAGAUUGGUGCCUUGUACCACAAGCAACCUAACAGUGAGCAUAAGUCCUAGAUAUCAAACAUCCAUUUUACGUCUUUUUCCCUCCAUUCAUCAUAGUCGAAAAUUAGCCAUAGUCGAACUACUUAUGAAGGCGUUCCGAGUAGGGAAAGAAAAGCAGCCAUACUUGUAGUCUAUGACUGAGGGACGUACAUGCUGAUGGACUGCUGUAAAAGUAAUGAUCAGAGCUUCUUGCAAGCUGCAAAUAAUAAAAAUCACUAAACCUUCAUGGAAAUAUACAAGAAAGUUUACUUCAUUUAUUUUAUAACGAAAUAAAUACAAGGGGAAACAGAAUAGAGAGGAACUGUCUCUAAGGCAGCCUGCACCAGGUUGAUAAAAUCUUAUAGCUAUAGCAACUCUAGGUGGGAAUAAAGAAAAUUACAUGAUUCAGCCUACAGUUAUUUAACAUCAUUCCAUUACAAUUUCCUUUGGAACAGCUUUGAGAGGCUGAGCCAUUUCUAAAGAGACGGCAAACUUGUCUUCCAAGUUCAUAGUCUCAGGUACAACUCCAUCUUCAAGCUUCCAAUCAAAGCAGUUAAUGAGUGAACCCAGCAUCAAGUGCAACAUUCUUAUUGCCAAUGGCAAACCUGGACAGAUUCUCCUCCCACCCCCAAACGGAAGAAGCUCAAAGUUUUGUCCCAUCACAUCAAUUUGGUUGUCUGAUCCUAAGAACCUCUCUGGCAUAAAAGAGUUUGGAUUGUCCCAAAUGCUGGGGUCUCUGCCUAUAGCCCAAAUAUUAUCUAGAACUUGUGCACCCUUCGGGACAAUGUAGACCCUGAUUUCUACUUCUGUUUCAGCUUUUCGUGGCAGUAGCAUUGGAAUCACCGGGCGCAGGCGGAAAGUUUCCUUGAUUAUUGCUUGUAAGUAAGGGAGUCUAGCAAUGUCGGAUUCCUCGAUUGGUUUUCCUUUUCCAACCAUUUGAUCCAGCUCUUCUUGAGCUUUAGAAAGGCACUUUGGGUUGUGCAGUAGCUCCGCCAUUGCCCAUUCCAAUGUGACUGAAGUUGUUUCUGUGCCAGCAGAAAAUAGAGCCUACCAUGCACAGUGAGUCAGUGACUAAUUGUUUAGAAAGUUACUCUACUCUGCACUGCACUUUGAAUCUUUAUUUAUUUAAUUGAAUACUUAAGAGUGUAAAAUGUCAGUAAUUAAAGCAUGAAGUGAGUAUUCAAGAAGAACAGGAAGAGUAGAGGAGACUAACCAUAAACAAAUCUUCAAUAACAUUAGGGUUGUUCAAAUCCUUAUCAUUUUCCUCUUCUCUGAGGUCUAUAAGAGUAUCCAACAUAUCAUUACUUGCAACAUAAUCAUCCCCUUUUCUAAAUUCCAAUCUUUUUCUGAUCACUGAUUCAAAUAGGCCUAACAUCUUGUUGUAUUGAUUCGUAAAGCGCCGCCUUCUGCCUUGGGGAUCAAUCUUCUUAAGCACAGGAAAACAGUCCCCUAAAUUUGGUUGUCCAGCCUCGUCUUUCACACUAGUGACAAACUUAUUGACCUCUUUAGUCAUCUCGCUGCUGCUACUCAAGUCAUCAUCAGCCAAAUCCACUGAGAGAACAGUUCUUGACAGCAAAUCAAGUGAAGUUUUGAAGGCAGCCUUUCCAAUAUCUACUGCCAAACCCUUUACCAUGCUGUCAUUGACACUAGCUAUGAGCUCUUUGCACUUUCGCUCUCCGGUUUUCUUGAUUGGCAUCAAGAACUCUGGUGGCAAAGAGUUGGGAGGUGCAUAUUUUCCGAAGAUUUCUCCACCUUGGUGAUACUGGCAUCCACGGCACGCUGUCUUCCAUUGCUCGAAGCGCAUCUGGAAUUGUUCUGUUGCAAAACAAUUGGUCGUGGAUUCGGAGGAUUUCUUUGGCCAUGGUUGGUGAAGAAACUACUACAGUGGUUAUCUGGCCAAGCUUCAAAGACAUAAUGGAGCCAUAGUGUUGUGAGAGGUUGGUCAAAGAGAUAUGAGGUUUGUCUCCAAGAUCAAAGAGAUUUCCAACCAAUGGAAAUGGCUUUGGUCCUAGUGGAAGCCUAACUCUGGUUCUUCUAUGGUGGGCUUGGAUUAAGAAGCAGGAGAUUAAACACAGACACAACAGUAUACCAGACAAGAAGUCCAUCUUUCACUAACAAAUUAGCUUCAAUCACAAGUCCAACUCCAACUCUCCUUGAGCUUAACUUAUGGGGAUGAGUUGAGCUAGAUUAUGAAUUAUUGGCCAUCUAUAUAUUCACAUGUGGUAUAGAUUUCAAUGGUGAAGUUACUCUUUAUAGCAACAUUAUAGGACUUUCUCAAUUUCGUAUCUGAGGGCAUAUCUGAGACGUCCGAGCAUAUCCAGGUGUAUCCAAGUGUAUAAAGGACGAUUGAAGUUGAGUGAUAUAGAUUUGAAAGGUAUCAUCAGUUCAUUUUCCAAAGCCAGAAAUAUGUGGACACCUCUGUUUUAAAUGGUCUAGGAAAGAGCCAUCACUUUUCUCUGCUUCAAUAUUUAUUGUUUAACGAAAUGUGAUCAUCUUAAUAAUCUAAUUUUGUGUUUGUCAAAUGAUGUGUUCUAUUCAAACCACAUAUUUGCUCAAAAUAAUGAUGCAAUGGUCACCUAUCUUCGACGGAAGCAAUGGCCUCCUAUCUUUGACGGAAGUAAUGGCCUCAUUAUCAAUACUCAAUAAUUCAGAUUGGUGCCUUGUACCACAAGCAACCUAACAGUGAGCAUAAGUCCUGGAUAUCAAACAUCCAUUUUACUUCUUUUUACUUCAAUUCAUCAUUUUGGGGAGUAGUUUCGGCUAAUUAAUGACUCUUGACUUGUUGAGCCUGCGUGCAGUUUGUUAGCUAGGGUCGAACUCUUAUCUCAUAGCUUUGCCUGCAAGCCUUGCAUUCCCUUGCAGGAAAAGGAAAAUCUGCCAUAAUCGAAAUACGGAUGAAGGCGUUCCGAGUAGGGAAAGAAAAGCACCCGGUACUUGUAGUCUAUGACUGAGAUGUUAAGGAUAAAGAUAUAAUUACCUCCUCAUGGUCUUGGUGUAAAUAGCAGGCCUUUCUUUCGAACUCUGUAAUACAAGCUCUUUCUCUCAAUCUCUUUGUUUUUCUUAAUCAGCUUUCAUGGUAUCAAGAGCCUUGGUUUCGUUCUUGGAGCAUUGAAGGCCUUCUCUCUCAUUUUUCUUCUGCGCGUUUUAGUUUUCUUAGUAUCAGAAAUUCAGAAUUGUUUUUCCCAAUUUCAAAACCCUAACCCCAAUUUCAGUUUCAAUUUCGAAGCAUUCUCUUCUCCUCGGUCUGUCACCGGCACGUCCCGAUUCGUCACCGUCCUUCCUUGACUCGUUCUCCUUUCUCCGAUUUGGUCGCCGACCUCGACUUGCUACAAUGUUCGAUCGGGUUUGGGAUUGGAAAUUGGCUCAUCAGAGAUUGCUUUGAGUUUCAAAUUUAGAUAAGUUCACCUUUGUUGAGAAGGAUAAAUUUUGGUUUUCUAUCAAGAUUGUUGAUAGUUGUGGAUUUGAAGCCUUGGAUUUGUGAUUAGAGUAUACUACAUGCAUAUUCAGUUAGUUCUUUGUCUGCAAAUUCAGAUAAGUUCUUCCUCAAAAUUGAUCAGAUUGAGUACAAAUUGAUGAAAGAUUGGUUCAAUAUCAGAAUUGGGUAGUAAAUUUUUCAGUUGGUUAUUCCUGGAAACAUUGGAAAGUAAGUGAUACUUUUUAUGAUUGAUAUUUGAUUUGAUAUUAGCAAGACUAUCAUUGGUUCUGAGUUCUAUUUGUUGAAGAUUUAUGCUCCGUCAGACUUCUAUUCUAGCAUUGUUUAGGUGAAGAUAAAUUGGUGGCAUUUGGGGUUUGUUCAGAUAAUUGGUGUUAUUGGGAAGCUUUCAUUGUGAGUUAUGAGUAAGAACUUGGAGCUACAGAAUUGCUUACUCGUCAACUUCAAAAAUUUUAUUUCAAUCCAGUUAGACGACUCUAACUAUGUUACCUGGAAAUUUCUUGUAGAGACACUAUUAACAGGUUGUGGCCUAAUGAGAUAUGUUGAUGGGUCAUUCCCUUGUCCCCUAGAAUAUAAGACUUUGGAAGAAAAUGGGGUUGCAUUUCAUGCGUACAUGAGUUGGGUGCAGAAUGAUUGUACUGCUAUGUCUUUACUUGCUGCUACCUUGUCCAGUAAUGCUCUCUCCUUCAUUGUUGGAAGUAAGACUUCUAAAGAGAUUUGGUGCCAACUUAAGGAGAAAUAUGUUGAUACUUCACGGUAUAACAUAAUGAAGCUCAAAUCCUCAUUGUACAACAUCCAGAUUGGUUCAGACUCUAUUGACAAGUACUUACUCCGAGUCAAGGAAAUUUGUGAUCAGCUUGCUACUUUAGGAGUUUCUAUGGAUGAUGAAGAAAUAAUAGUCUCAGUGCUUAAUGGUUUGCCAUCAGCGUUUGCUGCGAUCAAAACCAUAAUAAGGAUUAAAAGUCUGAGCUCCCCUGUUUCAAUGGUAGAAUUAAGAUCUCUUUUGUUGAUUGGUGAAGAUGAGAUUGCUCAAACAAUGAAGUCUGUUUCUAUGUCUUUGGAGACUGCUAUGGCUGCAUGUGGUGAUACUUCCAGAGGUACUGUUCAUUCUCAUUCUUUGGAUAAUAGCAGUUUACCUAAUUCGGAAAUGGUUAGCUCAUCUUCUACAUCUGCUGUUAUUAUUUCAAACACUAAUGCUCUUACCAGCAACUAUUCAAAACCUGUUACUCAAUUUGGUUAUGUGUCUCAACCAAAUGUUAUAUCUACCACUCCGGGUGUAUAUGAUGUUAUAUGAUGUUAUAUCUUCUAUAUCUACCAAAUGUUAUCUGCUUGCCCUACUAGAUACAUUAUGCACUUAAUGCCUAGUACUGAGUAUAUGAUGUCUUCUGGUGGUUAUUCUCCUUCUAACAAUGGUUUGGUUCAGUCACAAGUCAACACAAGAUGUAUUCGACCCAAGGGUAGUAUUCGAUACAAUGGAGGAUUUGUUGGGUCUCAUGGUUUUAUGCAACAAGGUAUUGAUAAGUAUUGGCAAAGCAAUAAUUACUGUGGUCAAAAUAAGAACAAUGGUAUCUAUGGACAGGGAUUCAAGCUCAGUUCAGAUGGUAGCAGGGCUGUUUCUCUUGUGCAUAAUAAUCAAGGUACUCAAGCAAGGUCUAGCGACUCUCAAAGCGUGUGUUCUUCUGCAGAUAUUUGUCAUAUAUGCAAUCAAUUCGGCCAUUUUGCAGGAACUUGUCCUCAAAGACCUGCUUCUCGACAAGUUGUUGCAUCUGGAUCUUAUAUGCGAUGUCAAAUUUGUUUGAAGACUGGUCACAGUGCAGCAGAAUGUUUGCAUAAGCAGCAUUAUGAUUUUUUACCACUAACUCAAGAAGAGCAUCAAGCUAUGAAUGCUUCCUUCUUCUCUCAAUCAACGGCAACAUCCAUUCCUACUGAAUCUACUUUUGUGUCCAGCAACUCUUCAUCUUCCAUUGAGAUUUCAAAUGGUAAUGCUUCUUGUUCUGCCACUUCAGUUUCCUCUGAGAGAUCAGAAUGGCAACAUGAAUGCCUCAAGCAACUUGCAGCUUUAUCAAUUCAAGGCACUAAGCAGUUCAUGUCUACUCCUUUGAAUAAAACUACACUAUUAUAGGCAGACCUCUCAUCCUUCAAGGCUAUGUCACUCACUGUCAUUGAUUUCUCCUGGUUGAUUUACAUAGCAAUCUGAUGUUAGUUGUCCCUCCCAUCCGCUUGAAAAGGGGGGGGGUUUGUUAAGGAUAAAGAUGUAAUUACCUCCGCAUGGUCUUGGUAUAAAUAGCAGGCCUUUCUUUCGUGUAAGAGAUUAGAACCCUAACUCUGUAAUACAAGCUCUUUCUCUCAAUCUCUUUGCUUUUCUUAAUCAGCUUUCAUGAGAGACAUACAUUCUGAUGGAAUGCUGUAAAAGUAAUUAUCAGAGCUUCUUGCAAGUUGCAAAUAAUAAAAAUCACUAAACCUUUAUUUAUUUUAUAACGAAAUAAAUACAAGGGGAAACAGAAUAGAGAGGAACUGUCUCCAAAGGCAGCCUGCACCAGGUUGAUAAAAUUACAUUUUUUUUUUUUUGGCUGAAAGAUGAGUGAGAGAGAGGAAUGAUCCCCUAACAUUUUUAUGCAUUAAAAAAGAAAAGAAGAGAGAAACAUCAAAAUUAGACCAAAAUCUCUCGCAACAAAAUAACAACGAAACAAAACUGGAAAACCGAAAUCGGAUAAAAUUACAUGAUUCAGCCUACAGUUAUUUAACAUCAUUCCAUUACAAUUUCCUUUGGAACAGCUUUGAGAGGCUGAGCCAUUUCUAAAGAGACGGCAAACUUGUCUUCCAAGUUCAUAGUCUCAGGUACAACUCCAUCUUCAAGCUUCCAAUCAAAGCAGUUGAUGAGUGAACCCAGCAUCAAGUGCAACAUUCUCAUUGCCAAUGGCAAACCUGGACAAAUUCU